GCUGGGUGUGGUGGUGCGCACCUGUAAUCCCAGCUACUCAGGAGGCUGAGGCAGGAGAAUCGCUUGAACCCGGGAAUUGGAGCCUGCAGUGAGCCGACAUCAUGCCACUGAACUCCACCCUGGGUGACAGAGCAAGACUCUGUCUCAA
Molecule: non-coding RNA, 148 nt
Organism: Gorilla gorilla gorilla (western lowland gorilla)
Lineage: Eukaryota; Metazoa; Chordata; Mammalia; Primates; Hominidae
Rfam family: Metazoan signal recognition particle RNA
About the family: The signal recognition particle (SRP) is a universally conserved ribonucleoprotein. It is involved in the co-translational targeting of proteins to membranes. The eukaryotic SRP consists of a 300-nucleotide 7S RNA and six proteins: SRPs 72, 68, 54, 19, 14, and 9.
Source: Rfam